Molecule: ribosomal RNA, 442 nt
Filed under: uncultured bacterium
Lineage: Bacteria
Description: partial 16S ribosomal RNA
Rfam family: Bacterial small subunit ribosomal RNA
Source: RNAcentral
CCUACGGGUGGCAGCAGUAGGGAAUCUUUCACAAUGGGCGAAAGCCUGAUGGAGCAACGCCGCGUGCACGAUGAAGGCCUUCGGGUUGUAAACUGCUUUUAUAAGCGAGAAAUGUGAUGGCAACUUAUGAAUAAGGAUCGGCUAACUACGUGCCAGCAGCAGCGGUCAUACGUAGGAUCCGAGAAUUAUCAGGAGUGACUGGGUGUAAAGAGUGGCGUAGGUGGCACAAUAAGUAGCUAGUGAAAGCUGGUGGCUCAACCAUUCAGACUAUUAGCUAAACUGUUAAGCUGGAGAGCAUUAGGGGUAACUGGAAUUUCUAGUGUAGGAGUGAAAUCCGUAGAUAUUAGAAGGAACACCAAUAGCGUAGGCAGGUUGCUGGGACGGUUCUGACACUAAGGCACGAAAGCGUAGGGAGCAAACGGGAUUAGAUACCCUUGUAGUC